Molecule: ribosomal RNA, 251 nt
Filed under: uncultured prokaryote
Description: partial 16S rRNA
Rfam family: Bacterial small subunit ribosomal RNA
Source: RNAcentral
ACGUAUGGGGCUAGCGUUGUUCGGAAUUACUGGGCGUAAAGGGCGUGUAGGCGGGGGUUUAAGUUAGGUGUGAAAACCCUGGGCUCAACCUUGGAACUGCAUCUAAAACUGGUUCACUUGAGUGCGGGAGAGGAGAGUGGAAUUCCUGGUGUAGCGGUGAAAUGCGUAGAUAUCAGGAGGAACACCAGUGGCGAAGGCGGCUCACUGGCCUAGAACUGACGCUGAAGCGCGAAAGCGUGGGGAGCGAACGG